RNAcentral lists this ribosomal RNA (477 nucleotides) under uncultured bacterium. Its description in RNAcentral is "partial 16S ribosomal RNA". It matches the Rfam family "Bacterial small subunit ribosomal RNA", at positions 30 to 507 of the family's 1533-position model. The record is from RNAcentral.
AUUGAACGCUGGCGGCAUGCCUUACACAUGCAAGUCGAACGGUAACAGGUUAAGCUGACGAGUGGCGAACGGGUGAGUAAUGUAUCGGAACGUGCCCAGUCGUGGGGGAUAACUGCUCGAAAGAGCAGCUAAUACCGCAUACGACCUGAGGGUGAAAGCGGGGGAUCGCAAGACCUCGCGCGAUUGGAGCGGCCGAUAACAGAUUAGGUAGUUGGUGAGGUAAAGGCUCACCAAGCCGACGAUCUGUAGCUGGUCUGAGAGGACGACCAGCCACACUGGGACUGAGACACGGCCCAGACUCCUACGGGAGGCAGCAGUGGGGAAUUUUGGACAAUGGGCGCAAGCCUGAUCCAGCCAUGCCGCGUGCGGGAAGAAGGCCUUCGGGUUGUAAACCGCUUUUGUCAGGGAAGAAAAGGUUCUGGCUAAUACCUGGGACUCAUGACGGUACCUGAAGAAUAAGCACCGGCUAACUACGUG